GGUGUCGCUGGGGAGCGGUUGACCCUCUGGGAUUCCGGUCGGGCCGGGGUUGGUUCCGGUCCAAUUGACGUUC
RNAcentral lists this transfer RNA (73 nucleotides) under Phycisphaerae bacterium. Its description in RNAcentral is "tRNA-Gly". The record is from RNAcentral. Lineage: Bacteria; Pseudomonadati; Planctomycetota; Phycisphaerae.